This 77-nucleotide transfer RNA is filed under the name bacterium. RNAcentral describes it as "tRNA-Thr". It matches the Rfam family "tRNA". Rfam says of the family: Transfer RNA (tRNA) molecules are approximately 80 nucleotides in length. Their secondary structure includes four short double-helical elements and three loops (D, anti-codon, and T loops). The record is from RNAcentral.
GGGGCCAUAGUUUAACUGGCUAAAAUACUUCGGGUUGGUACCGAGAGAUACGGGUUCAACUCCCGUUGGCUCCACCA